Entelurus aequoreus (snake pipefish) is the source of this 1019-nucleotide RNA transcript. It is a transcript of the gene named unconventional myosin-If, with no coding region annotated. The transcript is spliced from 4 exons. NCBI's taxonomy places the organism in Eukaryota, Metazoa, Chordata, Actinopteri, Syngnathiformes, Syngnathidae. The record is from RefSeq and is a predicted model, not a curated record.
UGCAUCAGUCAAUAUGGGCGUUGGAGGCAUCAGCUUCUCUGAUGGCACAAACGACAUGAAGCAAUCCCAGCCUGGGUGGAGCUUCAUGCACACACAAGCCAAACCUCAUCACUUGACCAACAAUGUGAAGACCUCUUUUGCAGGUGGUGCCACCAGCCCUUUAAACCGAGUCAUCGCCCAACCUUUUGACGCAAAUUAUUCUGAGCCUUUAGCCUAGGAAUUGGACUGUGACAGAAAUGGAGAAGUCACUACUAUAGCUCAUGUGGCACCUCUGACAUUCACUGCUGCGGGAUGGCGGUCUGACAGAAUUCAUCUGGUACUUUUUCAACCCCAAAUAUUCUGACUGGGCAGUGUGCACCUGACUAGACUACAACAAGAGGCCUACUGGGACAAUGGCCAAAUACCACUGGCAGAGUCAAAAUGUCAAACAAAGUGGAGUGGACGACAUGGUCCUGCUGUCCAAGAUCACAGAGGAGGCCAUCGUAGAAAACCUGAAGAAAAGAUACAUGGAUGAUUACAUUUUUACGUACAUUGGUUCUGUGCUGAUAUCAAUCAACCCCUUCAAACAGAUGCCUUACUUCACUGACCGAGAAAUCGAACUGUACCAAGGAGCAGUAAGUUGACAUAUUUGGCUUCUGUCAUCUGUACAGGGAUUGUGUGUUGUUUAUUUGCUGUAUAUUUAUCCGAGACCAAGUAAACCCUGGGCAAGUACCGUCGAUGCCAGCAACUUUUUUUUUUUUUUAAGACCAUUGAUUCAUUUUGUGAUUUUGCUAUAUGGCUCAUCAAUCAUUGUCAAUAUUUACUGUCGAUAUGACAAUAUAGUGUUCCCUCGUCACGUUGGCUCACUUAUUGCAGUCUCAGUGCAUCACAGAUUUUAAAGUACUUUUAGUACAUUAAGACGCAUUGGAGUUUCUGGGCCCCCAAACAAAAGACUCCUCAAGGGCCCCCAUCCAUACACACGUGGUGUGUUUACAUGCACUAAAACAAACUGCAUGGAUUUGAUUACAACCAGCUUUUUA